RNA transcript from Eubalaena glacialis (North Atlantic right whale), 698 nucleotides. It is a transcript of the gene named cysteine rich transmembrane module containing 1, with no coding region annotated. The record is from RefSeq and is a predicted model, not a curated record. The transcript has 2 exons. NCBI's taxonomy places the organism in Eukaryota, Metazoa, Chordata, Mammalia, Artiodactyla, Balaenidae.
AGUGCCCUGGGGCGGGAUGGGCCGGCUCCGGCCGAGGAGCGCGCACGGGCUGGGAGAGAGGCCGGGAGCUGGGGAGCGGUUGCAGCCGGCCCGAUGCCCACCCCGGCUCAUCGCGGCUGCUCCUCCGGGUCCCGUCGCAGCGCCGCUGGCGGAGACUGGGAAGAGCCAGCGCCGCCCGCCGGCCUCUGGGCAGUGGACUAAGAGGCUCCGCGUUGCGAGGAGUCGGUUGAGAGCUGGGCUCGCCACACCCGGUCUCGGGGGACGUCUGCGGGAGGCUUCUGCAUCUCUUCGCCUUGCGCUGCGAUUUCUAGGGCGCUGCCGGAGAUCCACUCUGUGCUCUGAGCCGGGCCUGCUGGGGGCGGGAGAGCGCUCGGGAACCCCGCGGGUGGGAGCAGGGGCCGGGGGUGUUCAGGAAAGGUGUUGCGGGGGGAAAGGAAUCCUGACUGUUGAGAACGGUGUAUAGGGAUCUGAAUAGACCUGUGGGAGGAAGUGAAAUCUGAGCGGAGCCCUGAGGGGGGCGGCUAAUCUUCGGCAGCUGUGGGCGUUGGACGAGUAGAGGGAGGGAAAGGGGACCUCUGGAGAAGGAGACCUUGAGCCUUGCGCUGGAGGUGUACUCGGCAGGUCCCUGAUGAACCAAGGGAACCCUCCACCGUAUCCAGGCCCCGGUCCGACGGCUCCAUACCCACCUUAUCCACAGC